RNAcentral lists this non-coding RNA (282 nucleotides) under Solanum lycopersicum (tomato). RNAcentral describes it as "Bacterial small subunit ribosomal RNA". It matches the Rfam family "Bacterial small subunit ribosomal RNA", at positions 559 to 871 of the family's 1533-position model. RNAcentral also lists the same sequence under 1 other name. Lineage: Eukaryota; Viridiplantae; Streptophyta; Magnoliopsida; Solanales; Solanaceae. The record is from Rfam by way of RNAcentral.
CCAAACACGUCUCUUAUUGAUAUAGGAGAAUUCGUAUCCCAGGGCUCAACCCUGGACAGGCGGUGGAAACUACCAAGCUGAAGUACGGUAGGGGCAGAGGGAAUUUCCGGUGGAGCAGUGAAAUGUGUAGAGAUCAGAAAGAACACCAACAGUGAAAGCACUGAGAGACGAAAGCUAGGGGAGCGAAUGGGAUUAGAUACCCCGUAAUCCUAGCCAUAGAGGAUGGAUACUAGGCUUUGUGCCUUAAUAUAUAACCUUCAUCUUUAUCAAGAUAAAAUCUUG